GACAGAGGGCUCAAACGUUGAUCGGAAUUACUGGGCAUAAAGCGCACGCAGGCGGCUUGCUAAGUCGGGUGUGAAAUCCCUUGGCUCAACCGAGGAACUGCAUUCGAUACUGGUAGGCUCGAGGACGGGAGGGGUAAGCGGAACUCCAGGUGGAACGGUGAAAUGUGUAGAUAUCUGGAGGAACACCGGUGGCGAAAGCGGCUUACUGGCCCGUAUCUGACGCUCAUGUGGGAAAGCUAGGGGAGCAAACGGG
This 253-nucleotide ribosomal RNA is filed under the name uncultured bacterium. RNAcentral describes it as "partial 16S ribosomal RNA". It matches the Rfam family "Bacterial small subunit ribosomal RNA", at positions 524 to 776 of the family's 1533-position model. The record is from RNAcentral.